Long non-coding RNA from Cyprinus carpio carpio, 542 nucleotides. The record is from Ensembl. NCBI's taxonomy places the organism in Eukaryota, Metazoa, Chordata, Actinopteri, Cypriniformes, Cyprinidae.
GCAGGAAAACACAACACUGGGUGGCGCUGUUCCCACAGCUGUGCGACUGAACGACGAGCUACUCGCCAGUCAUCAAGCGGAUAGAAGGCUAGCCAGUAUUAUCAAGUCAGCUACGGCAAAAAGUAUGUAUUUAUCCAGCUGACAUACUGCAGCAGUUCAGACCUGCCUGUUUUCCCUUCUGCACCAACAAACAAAAGCAUUCCCACACGAGAGAGGUGCGUGCUGGUGUUGCUGUGGCUCCUUGCCAGCCACUCUCACAGAGAGUCCUUAAAGGUUGCCAAGGAACUUGUGAUUGCAUGUAGAGACGGAAAGAGAUGUGUACAGAUGAGGCGAGAUGUGACAUCACAUUCAGCAGGGAAAGGCAGUGUGAGGGUAAGAGAAAGCUCCACAUCUUCCUGAGAGGAUUCAGAGGUGGAGGGGAUGACACACAUCAAAGACUCUGGAUGGCGUAAGAGAAAUGCCCCCAAAUGCUUCCAUUUCAGUGAACCCAGCUUGUGCUUCUGGUUGCAAAGUGAAGGAGCCUCAUUCUAAAGAUAUGUAAA